UGAGGAAUAUUGGUCAAUGGGCGAAAGCCUGAACCAGCCAUGCCGCGUGAAGGAAUAAGGCCCUAUGGGUCGUAAACUUCUUUUGUAUCGGAGCAAUAAGGGCCACGAGUGGUCCGAUGAGAUUACGAUACGAAUAAGCAUCGGCUAACUCCGUGCCAGCAGCCGCGGUAAUACGGGGGAUGCGAGCGUUAUCCGGAUUCAUUGGGUUUAAAGGGUGCGUAGGCGGCUUUGCAAGUCAGCGGUGAAAGGCCCGGGCUCAACCCGGAAAGUGCCGUUGAUACUGUGAGGCUGGAAUGCGGAUGCUGUGGGAGGAAUGAGUGGUGUAGCGGUGAAAUGCAUAGAUAUCACUCAGAACACCGAUUGCGAAGGCAUCUCACAAAUCCGCAAUUGACGCUGAGGCACGAAAGCGU
Molecule: ribosomal RNA, 410 nt
Filed under: uncultured bacterium
Lineage: Bacteria
Description: bacterial SSU rRNA
Rfam family: Bacterial small subunit ribosomal RNA
Source: RNAcentral